GAUGAACGCUGGCCGCGUGCCUAAUACAUGCAAGUCGAGCGAACGGACGAGAAGCUUGCUUCUCUGAUGUUAGCGGCGGACGGGUGAGUAACACGUGGAUAACCUACCUAUAAGACUGGGAUAACUUCGGGAAACCGGAGCUAAUACCGGAUGAUAUUUUGAACCGCAUGGUUCAAAAGUGAAAGACGGUCUUGCUGUCACUUAUAGAUGGAUCCGCGCUGCAUUAGCUAGUUGGUAAGGUAACGGCUUACCAAGGCAACGAUGCAUAGCCGACCUGAGAGGGUGAUCGGCCACACUGGAACUGAGACACGGUCCAGACUCCUACGGGAGGCAGCAGUAGGGAAUCUUCCGCAAAGGGCGAAAGCCUGACGGAGCAACGCCGCGUGAGUGAUGAAGGUCUUCGGAUCGUAAAACUCUGUUAUUAGGGAAGAACAUAUGUGUAAGUAACUGUGCACAUCUUGACGGUACCUAAUCAGAAAGCCACGGCUAACUACGUG
This 497-nucleotide ribosomal RNA is filed under the name uncultured bacterium. Its description in RNAcentral is "partial 16S ribosomal RNA". It matches the Rfam family "Bacterial small subunit ribosomal RNA", at positions 28 to 507 of the family's 1533-position model. The record is from RNAcentral.